AUGGCACCUAAUGAAGACGAUGAUGACCUGACUAGCUGGACUGUACGUGUCGACACGCAAGACUCCCCCGUGCAGAAUGACCCAGUUUAUGUUUUAAAACCACUGGUGGUGCAAACUGCAAGGUAUCCACCACAAGCGCCAAUGAAUGAAAGAGUUACUGGACGCAAUUGCAAACCUGUGCCGCGCUUGAAGAACUGUCAACACCAAUCAAGCGUCUUGCAGACAAUCAAUGAGGUGGACAAUGGACCUGCACAAGAUGAUGAUGAACACAUGGAUGCUGCCGAUGUAAGUGAUGAUCACAUUGCAUGUUGGACAAAGAUUGUUCCUCAAUAUGACUGCGAGCGAGAACUCGAGCAAGUCUUUGUUCUAGGGCCUAAAACACGAUGUCCGCGAUAUCCACAAGCUCAAGAACACCAGUCUAGUCAGAGAGAUGAUAAGGCAGGUGCAGAUACUUGCAUAGAUAACUGUGAGAAAGCUAGAACUGCACGUUGUUCUACCGCCCCAAAAAAGAUAACAAAAAUGAUGUUUUGCUAA
RNAcentral lists this ribosomal RNA (534 nucleotides) under Triticum aestivum (bread wheat). RNAcentral describes it as "partial small subunit ribosomal RNA". Lineage: Eukaryota; Viridiplantae; Streptophyta; Magnoliopsida; Poales; Poaceae. The record is from RNAcentral.